This 892-nucleotide long non-coding RNA is filed under the name Mytilus galloprovincialis (Mediterranean mussel). Lineage: Eukaryota; Metazoa; Mollusca; Bivalvia; Mytilida; Mytilidae. The record is from RNAcentral.
AAUUAUUGUUGCAUUCGUAAUAAAUCAGUUCCUCGCCCAACUUUGCAUUCCAGCAAUUAGUCUCCAGUGUAACAAUAAUAUUUUUAUUGUUGUUACAUUUCCAUGUAACCGUAGCCAGUGCCUAAUAAAAUUGAGAAUGAAAAAGGGGAAUGUGUCAUAUAGACAAUAACCUGAUCUAAGAGCAGACAACAGUCGAAGGUUACCAAUGGAUCUUUAAUGCCGGGAGAAACUCCUACACCCAAAGGAUUGCUUUUGCUGGCCCCUUUACAUAAUAACGAAAAUGUAUACUAUUUCAACUAGUCACUUUGUUCCGGUGGAACUUUUAAAUCAGAGGAAGAACAAAGUAACACAUACUAAUAAGUUCCUCUGGAACUUUUCGGCUAGUGAGUUCUUUCCGCCCGGAACUUUCCAACGUCGGAACAAAAGAGCAUUUACAAUAACUUGGACAUACGCUAAAAUCAGAAGUAUACACAAGAAAUUAAAAUUUAAAAAAAAAUGUACAAAACAAUUAUGAAAAAUAAAUAUGAUAUACAGCAACAAUCACCACAUUAGUGGGUCCUCACUAUGGACAGGUGCAUACAGAAUGUGGCGGCUUAAACAUCUUAACUGGCACAAAACUCUCCCCUAACAUAGGACAGUGUAUGUGUAUAAUCUCAGACAUUGAAUCUUUAUAAAUAUAAAUUGGAAAUAACUUUUGAAAGUGGUAGGAUUGCAUAACAUAAUCAUUACUGUACAAGCAUUAUUCAUGUUAUUUGAUACUUUAGAAAUAGCUGAGAACAAUGCCUGAGAUAAAUAUUUUGACUAAUUCUUUACACUAUUCAUCUGAACUUGGCCAAGUUUGCCUUUGGGUUUUUGAUUAACUGCCUAUAGCACCCUUUGGUGCUUUGAUUUU